UACGUAGGGCGCAAGCGUUAUCCGGAAUUAUUGGGCGUAAAGAGCUCGUAGGCGGUUUGUCGCGUCUGCCGUGAAAGUCCGGGGCUCAACUCCGGAUCUGCGGUGGGUACGGGCAGACUAGAGUGAUGUAGGGGAGACUGGAAUUCCUGGUGUAGCGGUGAAAUGCGCAGAUAUCAGGAGGAACACCGGUGGCGAAGGCGGGUCUCUGGGCCGUAACUGACGCUGAGGAGCGAAAGCGUGGGGAGUAAACAGG
This 253-nucleotide ribosomal RNA is filed under the name uncultured bacterium. Its description in RNAcentral is "partial 16S ribosomal RNA". It matches the Rfam family "Bacterial small subunit ribosomal RNA", at positions 524 to 776 of the family's 1533-position model. The record is from RNAcentral.